Molecule: ribosomal RNA, 775 nt
Filed under: uncultured Pirellula sp.
Lineage: Bacteria; Pseudomonadati; Planctomycetota; Planctomycetia; Pirellulales; Pirellulaceae
Description: bacterial SSU rRNA
Rfam family: Bacterial small subunit ribosomal RNA
Source: RNAcentral
AGAGUUUGAUCCUGGCUCAGAAUGAACGUUGGCGGCGUGGAUUAGGCAUGCAAGUCGAACGUUAGCGGUAGCAAUACCGCGAAAGUGGCGAAAGGGAGAGUAAUACGUAGGUACCUGCCCUCGGGUCUGGGAUAGCUGCGGGAAACUGCAGAUAAUACCGGAUGACGUCUCUGGACCAAAGGUGUGAUUCCGCCAGAGGAUGGGCCUGCGUCCUAUCAGCUAGUUGGUGUGGUAAUGGCGCACCAAGGCUAAGACGGGUACGGGGUGUGAGAGCAUGCCCCCGCUCACUGGGACUGAGACACUGCCCAGACACCUACGGGUGGCUGCAGUCGAGAAUCUUCCGCAAUGGGCGAAAGCCUGACGGAGCGACGCCGCGUGUGGGAUGAAGGCCUUCGGGUUGUAAACCACUGUCAGUGGGGAGCAAGUGCAUCGGGGUUCUCCCCGAUGUUUGAGCGAUCCGCAGAGGAAGCACAGGCUAAUUCCGUGCCAGCAGCCGCGGUAAUACGGAAUGUGCAAACGUUAUUCGGAAUCACUGGGCUUAAAGAGUCCGUAGGCGGCUUGUUAGGUGAGGUGUGAAAUCCCCCGGCUCAACCGUGGAAUUGCGCUUCAAACCGACAAGCUAGAGGAGGAUAGAGGUGGGCGGAACUGAUGGUGGAGCGGUGAAAUGCGUUGAUAUCAUCAGGAACACCGGAGGCGAAAGCGGUCCACUGGGUCCUAUCUGACGCUGAGGGACGAAAGCUAGGGGAGCGAACGGGAUUAGAUACCCCCGUAGUCC